This 910-nucleotide ribosomal RNA is filed under the name uncultured bacterium. RNAcentral's name for it is "bacterial SSU rRNA". It matches the Rfam family "Bacterial small subunit ribosomal RNA", at positions 8 to 916 of the family's 1533-position model. The record is from RNAcentral.
AGAGUUUGAUCCUGGCUCAGGACGAACGCUGGCGGCGUGCUUAACACAUGCAAGUCUACGAGAACGAGGUAGCAAUAUCUUUAGUAAAGUGGCGCACGGGUGCGUAACACGUAAGCAAUCUACCUUUGGGUCUGGAAUAACUUCGAGAAAUCGAGGCUAAUACCGGAUAAUGCAGCGGCACCGCAUGGUGAUGUUGUUAAAGUUUAAGUAAUGCCUAUAGAUGAGCUUGCGUCUGAUUAGCUAGUUGGUAGGGUAAAGGCCUACCAAGGCUACGAUCAGUAGCUGGUCUGAGAGGAUGAUCAGCCACACUGGAACUGAGACACGGUCCAGACUCCUACGGGAGGCAGCAGUGAGGAAUAUUGGGCAAUGCCCGCAAGGGUGACCCAGCAACGCCGCGUGGAGGAUGAAGGCCGUAAGGUUGUAAACUCCUGUUAGAGGAGAAGAACAGUACCGAUUGGAUCGGUAUUUGACUGUACCCUCAGAGAAAGCCCCGGCUAACUACGUGCCAGCAGCCGCGGUAAUACGUAGGGGGCAAGCGUUGUCCGGAUUUACCGGGUGUAAAGGGCGCGCAGGCGGAAUAUCAAGUCAGAGGUGAAAUCCUACAGCUUAACUGUAGAACUGCCUUUGAUACUGUUAUUCUUGAGUUCGGGAGAGAGAGACGGAAUUCCAGGUGUAGUGGUGAAAUACGUAGAUAUCUGGAAGAACACCAGUUGCGAAGGCGGUCUCUUGGUCCGAUACUGACGCUGAGGCGCGAAAGCGUGGGGAGCAAACAGGAUUAGAUACCCUGGUAGUCCACGCUGUAAACGAUGAAUACUAGGUGUUGGGUUUUUAACUCAGUGCCGCAGCUAACGCAUUAAGUAUUCCACCUGGGAAGUACGAUCGCAAGGUUGAAACUCAAAGGAAUUGACGG